CCCUGGUGGCGAGUAGCGGACGGGUGAGUAAAGCAUCGGAACGUAUCCUGGAGUGGGGGAUAACGUAGCGAAAGUUACGCUAAUACCGCAUAUUCUGUGAGCAGGAAAGCAGGGGAUCGCAAGACCUUGCGCUCUGGGAGCGGCCGAUGUCGGAUUAGCUAGUUGGUGGGGUAAAGGCCUACCAAGGCGACGAUCCGUAGCGGGUCUGAGAGGAUGAUCCGCCACACUGGGACUGAGACACGGCCCAGACUCCUACGGGAGGCAGCAGUGGGGAAUUUUGGACAAUGGGCGGAAGCCUGAUCCAGCCAUGCCGCGUGAGUGAAGAAGGCCUUCGGGUUGUAAAGCUCUUUCGGCGGGGAAGAAAUUGCACGGGUUAAUACCCUGUGUAGAUGACGGUACCCGAAUAAGAAGCACCGGCUAACUACGUGCCAGCAGCCGCGGUAAUACGUAGGGUGCGAGCGUUAAUCGGAAUUACUGGGCGUAAAGCGUGCGCAGGCGGUUUGGUAAGUCAGAUGUGAAAUCCCCGGGCUCAACCUGGGAACUGCAUUUGAGACUGCCAGGCUGGAGUUUGGCAGAGGGGGGUGGAAUUCCACGUGUAGCAGUGAAAUGCGUAGAGAUGUGGAGGAACACCUAUGGCGAAGGCAGCCCCCUGGGCCAAUACUGACGCUCAUGCACGAAAGCGUGGGGAGCAAACUGGAUUAGAUACCCUGGUAGUCCACGCCCUAAACGAUGUCAACUAGGUGUUGGGAGGGUUAAACCUUUUAGUGCCGUAGCUAACGCGUGAAGUUGACCCCUGGGGAGUACGGCCGCAAGGCUAAAACUCAAAGGAAUUGACGGGGACCCGCACAAGCGGUGGAUGAUGUGGAUUAAUUCGAUGCAACGCGAAAAACCUUACCUACCCUUGACAUGUCAGGAAUCCUGAAGAGAUUUGGGAGUGCUCGCAAGAGAGCCUGAACACAGGUGCUGCAUGGCUGUCGUCAGCUCGUGUCGUGAGAUGUUGGGUUAAGUCCCGCAACGAGCGCAACCCUUGUCAUUAAUUGCCAUCAUUCAGUUGGGCACUUUAAUGAGACUGCCGGUGACAAACCGGAGGAAGGUGGGGAUGACGUCAAGUCCUCAUGGCCCUUAUGGGUAGGGCUUCACACGUCAUACAAUGGUCGGUCCAGAGGGUUGCCAACCCGCGAGGGGAGCCAAUCUCAGAAAGCCGAUCGUAGUCCGGAUCGCAGUCUGCAACUCGACUGCGUGAAGUCGGAAUCGCUAGUAAUCGCGGAUCAGCAUGUCGCGGUGAAUACGUUCCCGGGUCUUGUACACACCGCCCGUCACACCAUGGGAGCGGGUUCUGCCAGAAGUAGUUAGCCUAACCGCAAGGAGGGCGAUUACCACGGCAGGGUUCGUGACUGGGGUGAAGUCGAAACAAGGUA
This 1418-nucleotide ribosomal RNA is filed under the name metagenome. RNAcentral describes it as "bacterial SSU rRNA". It matches the Rfam family "Bacterial small subunit ribosomal RNA". The record is from RNAcentral.